RNAcentral lists this ribosomal RNA (382 nucleotides) under uncultured eukaryote. Its description in RNAcentral is "partial 18S ribosomal RNA". It matches the Rfam family "Eukaryotic small subunit ribosomal RNA", at positions 592 to 976 of the family's 1831-position model. The record is from RNAcentral.
CAAUAGCGUAUAUUAAAGUUGUUGCAGUUAAAAAGAUCGUAGUUGGAUUUCUGGUUGAAGCGACCGGUCGGGCGUUGAUUCGUCUGCACUGGAGUCGGUUUUGGCCAUCCUCUAGGAAAGUGCGUCUGGUAUUAAGUUAUCGGGCGUAUGAUCCUGGUCUUUUACUGUGAAAAAAUUAGAGUGUUUAAAGCAGGCCUUCGCCUUGAAUACAUUAGCAUGGAAUAAUAAGAUAGGACUUUGGUCUAUUUUGUUGGUUUGCAGACCGAAGUAAUGAUUAAUAGGGAUAGUUGGGGGUAUUUAUAUUCCGAUGUCAGAGGUGAAAUUCUUAGAUUUUCGGAAGAUAAACUUAUGCGAAAGCAUUUACCAAGGAUGUUUUCAUUAA